Molecule: ribosomal RNA, 256 nt
Filed under: uncultured soil bacterium
Lineage: Bacteria
Description: partial 16S ribosomal RNA
Rfam family: Bacterial small subunit ribosomal RNA
Source: RNAcentral
AGGACGAACGCUGGCGGCGUGCCUAACACAUGCAAGUCGAACGGGACCAGGGGCAACUCUGGUUCAGUGGCGGACGGGUGCGUAACACGUGAGGAACAUGACCUUCGGCGGGGGAUAGCCGGCCCAACGGCCGGGUAAUACCGCGUACGACCACUUUGGGACAUCCCUAGGUGGUGAAAGCAGCAAUGCGCCGAUGGAGUGCCUCGCGGCCUAUCAGCUAGUUGUGAGGUAACGGCUCACCAAGGCGACGACGGGU